UCAUAUUGUUUCUUAAUUAAACUGC
Molecule: microRNA, 25 nt
Filed under: Bombyx mori (domestic silkworm)
Lineage: Eukaryota; Metazoa; Arthropoda; Insecta; Lepidoptera; Bombycidae
Description: bmo-miR-3232
Source: miRBase by way of RNAcentral